GCCUCUUGUAUCUGAGCAGCGUUGACCCAUAUUCAUUUCCUGAAGCGGGAAGGUUAGAGAUGUGCUACUAAAUUGGAUUAUUAAAAGUUUAGAAAUGAAGAAUAAUUCCUGGCUUGUUGAACAAGAAAUAACAGUCUUCACCUUUCUUCCAAUUUGGAUCCCUGGGCUAUCUGCUUCCACAAUGAAUCCAGUAAAGGCUUUGCUUGCCGGAGUUUUUGGAUCUGGACUGGUACGUGCUAGCAAAAAAUA
Long non-coding RNA from Parus major (Great Tit), 249 nucleotides. RefSeq lists it as uncharacterized. The transcript has 2 exons. The record is from RefSeq and is a predicted model, not a curated record. Lineage: Eukaryota; Metazoa; Chordata; Aves; Passeriformes; Paridae.